This 876-nucleotide ribosomal RNA is filed under the name uncultured bacterium. RNAcentral's name for it is "bacterial SSU rRNA". It matches the Rfam family "Bacterial small subunit ribosomal RNA", at positions 17 to 914 of the family's 1533-position model. The record is from RNAcentral.
UCCUGGCUCAGGACGAACGCUGGCGGCGUGCCUAACACAUGCAAGUCGUACGCGGUGGCUUGCCACCGAGUGGCGAACGGGUGCGUAACACGUGAGGAACCCACCCCGACGUGGGGGAUAACACCGGGAAACCGGUGCUAAUACCGCAUGUGCUCCCCUGACCGCAUGGUCGAGGGAGCAAAGCCUUCGGGCGCGACGGGACGGCCUCGCGGCCUAUCAGCUUGUUGGUGGGGUAACGGCCCACCAAGGCGACGACGGGUAGCUGGUCUGAGAGGACGAUCAGCCACACUGGGACUGAGACACGGCCCAGACUCCUACGGGAGGCAGCAGUGGGGAAUAUUGCGCAAUGGGCGAAAGCCUGACGCAGCAACGCCGCGUGGAGGACGAAGGCCUUCGGGUUGUAAACUCCUUUCAGCAGGGACGAAACUGACGGUACCUGCAGAAGAAGCCCCGGCUAACUACGUGCCAGCAGCCGCGGUAAGACGUAGGGGGCGAGCGUUGUCCGGAUUUACUGGGCGUAAAGAGCUCGUAGGCGGCUUGGCAAGUCGGAUGUGAAAUCACCAGGCUCAACCUGGUGUCGCCAUCCGAUACUGCCAUGGCUUGAGUCCGGUAGAGGAUCGUGGAAUUCCUGGUGUAGCGGUGAAAUGCGCAGAUAUCAGGAGGAACACCAAUGGCGAAGGCAGCGAUCUGGGCCGGUACUGACGCUGAGGAGCGAAAGCGUGGGGAGCGAACAGGAUUAGAUACCCUGGUAGUCCACGCCCUAAACGUUGGGCACUAGGUGUGGGGCCUCAUUCGACGGGCUCCGUGCCGACGCUAACGCAUUAAGUGCCCCGCCUGGGGAGUACGGCCGCAAGGCUAAAACUCAAAGGAAUUGAC